This 437-nucleotide unclassified non-coding RNA is filed under the name uncultured Thelephoraceae. Its description in RNAcentral is "sequence contains ITS2". The stretch from base 1 to 155 matches the Rfam family "5.8S ribosomal RNA". The record is from RNAcentral. Lineage: Eukaryota; Fungi; Basidiomycota; Agaricomycetes; Thelephorales; Thelephoraceae.
AACUUUCGACAAUGGAUCUCUUGGCUCUCGCAUCGAUGAAGAACGCAGCGAAAUGCGAUAAGUAAUGUGAAUUGCAGAAUUCAAUGAAUCAUCGAAUCUUUGAACGCACCUUGCGCCCUUUGGCUAUUCCGAAGGGCAUGCCUGUUUGAGUAUCAUUAACACCUCAACUCUCACGGUUUCUCGUUACGAGCUUGGAGUGGGGGGUUUUCUUGGCUGGUGGUCAGCGCUCCUCAAAUGAAUUAGCAUGCCGGUUUCUGGCGGCAUCAUGGGUGUGAUAACCAGCUGCGCUUGUGAUCGUCUGCGAGGUAAACCUCUGGUCUGCAGAGGUUCGCGGGAGCUUAUAGAUGUCUCUCCUCAGUGGAAAUAGUUGUUUGAAGUUCGAUCUCAAAUCAGGUAGGGCUACCCGAUGAACAUAAGCAUAUCAAUGAGCGGAGGCU